This 370-nucleotide ribosomal RNA is filed under the name uncultured bacterium. RNAcentral's name for it is "bacterial SSU rRNA". It matches the Rfam family "Bacterial small subunit ribosomal RNA", at positions 523 to 898 of the family's 1533-position model. The record is from RNAcentral.
AUACGUAGGUGGCAAGCGUUGUCCGGAAUUAUUGGGCGUAAAGGGUUCGUAGGCGGUCUUUUAAGUCUGAUGUGAAAGCCCACGGCUUAACCGUGGAAGGUCAUUGGAAACUGGAAGACUUGAGUACAGGAGAGGAAAGUGGAAUUCCUAGUGUAGCGGUGAAAUGCGUAGAUAUUAGGAGGAACACCAGUGGCGAAGGCGGCUUUCUGGCCUGUAACUGACGCUGAUGAACGAAAGCGUGGGGAGCAAACAGGAUUAGAUACCCUGUAGUCCACGCCGUAAACGUUGAGUGCUAAGUGUCGGGGGAGACCUCGGUGCUGAAGUUAACGCAUUAAGCACUCCGCCUGGGGAGUACGGUCGCAAGACUGAA